RNAcentral lists this ribosomal RNA (432 nucleotides) under uncultured bacterium. RNAcentral describes it as "partial 16S ribosomal RNA". It matches the Rfam family "Bacterial small subunit ribosomal RNA", at positions 29 to 507 of the family's 1533-position model. The record is from RNAcentral.
AACGAACGCUGGCGGCAUGCCUAACACAUGCAAGUCGAACGAGACCUUCGGGUCUAGUGGCGCACGGGUGCGUAACGCGUGGGAACCUGCCCUUAGGUUCGGAAUAACUCCCCGAAAGGGGUGCUAAUACCGGAUAAUGUCUUCGGACCAAAGAUUAUCGCCUUUGGAUGGGCCCGCGUUGGAUUAGCUAGUUGGUAGGGUAAAAGCCUACCAAGGCGACGAUCCAUAGCUGGUCUGAGAGGAUGAUCAGCCACACUGGGACUGAGACACGGCCCAGACUCCUACGGGAGGCAGCAGUGGGGAAUAUUGGACAAUGGGCGAAAGCCUGGUCCAGCAAUGCCGCGUGAGUGAUGAAGGCCUUAGGGUUGUAAAGCUCUUUUACCCGGGAUGAUAAUGACAGUAACGGGAGAAUAAGCUCCGGCUAACUCCGUG